This 468-nucleotide ribosomal RNA is filed under the name uncultured bacterium. RNAcentral's name for it is "partial 16S ribosomal RNA". It matches the Rfam family "Bacterial small subunit ribosomal RNA", at positions 28 to 507 of the family's 1533-position model. The record is from RNAcentral.
GACGAACGCUGGCGGCGUGCUUAACACAUGCAAGUCGAACGGAAAGGCCCUGCUUUUGUGGGGUGCUCGAGUGGCGAACGGGUGAGUAACACGUGAGUAACCUGCCCUUGACUUUGGGAUAACUUCAGGAAACUGGGGCUACUACAGGAUAGGAGAUCCUGCUGCAUGGUGGGGGUUGGAAAUUUUCGGCGGUUGGGGAUGGACUCGCGGCUUAUCAGCUUGUUGGUGGGGUAGUGGCUUACCAAGGCUUUGACGGGUAGCCGGCCUGAGAGGGUGACCGGCGACAAGAGGACUGCGAGACGGCGCAGACGCCAACGGGAGGCAGCGGUGGGGAAUAUGGCACAGUGGGCGGAAGCGUGAUGCAGCAGCGCCGCGAGCGUGAUGACGGCCUUCGGGGUGUAAACCGCUUUCGCCUGUGACGAAGCGUUAGUGACGGUAAUGGGUAAAGAAGCACCGGCUAACUACGUG